Molecule: ribosomal RNA, 384 nt
Filed under: uncultured marine Chaetocerotaceae
Lineage: Eukaryota; Bacillariophyta; Thalassiosirophyceae; Chaetocerotales; Chaetocerotaceae
Description: SSU rRNA
Rfam family: Eukaryotic small subunit ribosomal RNA
Source: RNAcentral
AGCUCCAAUAGCGUAUACUAACGUUGUUGCAGUUAAAAAGCUCGUAGUUGGAUUUCUGGUGGGAGGGAUCGGUCCUGCAUUCUUUGUAGGAACUUGUAUCCUCUCCGGCCAUCCUUGGGUGGAUCUUGUCUGGCAUUAAGUUGUCAGGCAGGGGAUGCCCAUCGUUUACUGUGAAAAAAUUAGAGUGUUCAAAGCAGGCUUAUGCCAUUGAAUAUAUUAGCAUGGAAUAAUAAGAUAGGGCCCUGGUACUAUUUUGUUGGUUUGCGUACCGAGGUAAUGAUUAAUAGGGACAGUUGGGGGUAUUUGUAUUCAGUAUUCAGUGGUGAAAUACUUAGACCUACGGAAGACAAACUACUGCGAAAGCAUUUACCAAGGAUGUUUUCA